CGCCCCCACCCCUAGGCCAAUCACAGUCCGGGGAGGGGCGUUUCCGGCGGCUUCGAGGCGGGACUUCCUGUCUCGCUGUAGAGCCUCCUUCCGGGAGCGGUUGGUGGUUGAAAGGCGAUCACGUGGACCGGAGCGCAGCUCCGGGACCGUGUCUCUAGGGCCUGGCGGGUAAGGCCAGCAAGGUAGCGGGCCUAUCUCCGCACCUCAUCGGAGCCGUGACGCCCCAGCCCCGGCUCCUUCGCCGUGACACUGUGUCUCCGUCUACGGGACAGGAGACUUCGCGCCUCGCGUUUGCCAGUCUCCGCCGAGACUGCACGUUUCUGCAGGCCUCCACCCGCGCUCCGUCGCCUAGGGCCCCGAGGACGGCGGCCUGGGCCUUUCGGGCAUUUGACGUCAUUUUGUUGUUGUUGUCGUUUGACAUCAUUUUAUAGCGGGGUUCGGAGUUUGAGGCGCAGCCCGAGGGGACCUGCCCUGGUCUCCCGCCGCACGGGGCCCCAUUCCUCCCGCUGUGCCCAGCGGCAGUGGAAGGCGCCGCAGCACUGAUGAACCCGGCGCAGGGCUGUGUGACCUUCGAGGAUGUGUUCGUGUACUUCUCCCGGGAGGAGUGGGAGCUGCUAGAGGAAGCUCAGAGACUCCUGUACCGUGAUGUGAUGCUGGAGAACUUUGCACUUGUGUCAUCACUGGGACUUGCAGUUUCCAGGUCUCAUGGGGCUACCCAGCUGCAGCCAGAGGGGAGCCUGGGGUGCCUGAGGAGGUAGACGCUGCUCCGGUCAGAGCAGAGAAGACCUGGAGGAGGCCCAGGCCUGGUGAGUGGAGGGCACGGGCAUCAGGGCUGGCUUCACUUUAUAGCAGCAGUUUGCACUGCGUCUAUGGUGUGUUCUUCCCCAACUUUGAUGCGUUGCUCAUUUGUCACUCUACUCUGCCCUUAGGCACCUGUUCAUCCCACCCCCCUUUCUAGUCGCACAUCUUAUCUGACUUCUUGCUCCUCCAUGCAGCGCUCCACGGCAUUGGGUUUCUUUUAACGUGUCACGAGAUGUGCACAUAUCCUUAGUUUUCCUUGAACACUAUCAGGCCAGAUAUUCUGUUCUGGGCCAGGUUAGAUAUUCUGUCAGGCCAGGUUUUUCUGGCCCUGGCUGGACCCUUUUUCACAGCACUCAACCAGCACAAGGAACCAAGAGCCUUGCUUGGAGACCAUCUGCAUGGUGUGGUUCAGAGAGCCCCUGGUCACACUGUGCCCCAUCGUGGUAUCCCCUCCUCCAAGGUUCCCUUCCCCUCCUCCUCCUGAUUCUGGGCCCCAUCUGAGGCCCGCGGUCCCACAGACCCAUUGCAGUUACCAGACACGGGUUUGUCACCGGAGGCCACCAGCUGAACGUGCGCUUCAGCCGCAUCUGUCUUCCUUCAGGUUGUUGGCCCGGAGUGGCGGGUGUGGCUGCACCUUCUGAGCAGUGGGUUCCUGUGAGCCGGCUGCAGAUGAGAACUGCCCAGGCUGAGCCCUCCACCCACACGGCUCACCCCUGCGACAUGUGUGGCCCAGUCUUGAAAGACAGUUUGGCCCCUGGCUGAGCUGCAGGGAACUCCCCGCAGGUGAAUCAUGGGGAGAGAUUUCGGGUGUAGUGUAAACCUCGACCAGAUGCAGAAGCGGUAGAAUGGAGUCUUCAGGAGAGAAAACGCAGGCUUCAUUUGUAAAGUACUGCGGAUCCUGUACGUCAGAGACAGCCUUCACUUGCAGGGAGGGUGGAGAGGACUUCCCGGCCAGCACGCGGCCCCUCGCCAUGGGGAGAGGCCAAGCGGGCAUGUCAGGAGCUUAUUCUCUGCUGUCAUCGCCAUGGGGUCCUUUUGGGUGCUGGACUCCCGUUGGGCCGGAAAGCACAACUGAGGCCAUAAAGCUUGCUGCCUCUCAGCGGCCCUUGUUGGAGGGAACGUUGCUCCAGGGUCAGUUGACUCUGGGACUCUGGGUUAGAGCAAACUAGAAAUCAGAAAUGCAAGAAGGGCUGUGGAGCCCAGGGACAGUUUCCCACAAGGAGAGUCUUCAGGAGGAUGAGCUGUGAACACAGUGGUGUGAGAACAGGUGAAAGUCUGCACUCCAACAAUUACUGGAACAAUUACUCCGGUAGAUGCUUUUCAUAAACAGAACUCACGUGCACCAGGGAAAGCUUCCAUGAUCUACGCAGGCAAGAAUCUCUGCAAGUGGAAGAAAUGUGGGAUGGCUUUAACAGACAUUGAUGUGCCUUUCUCCCGAGGGUGGGCCCGAGUCAGCACAUGAGGAUUUAUGCUCAGCAGAACCAUGGGAGUGGUCAGGCUAUGCAGCAAUAGCACAUUCACACUGAGAAGCCUUAUGGACGCAGAGAGUGUGGGGAAGUAUCUGUGUCUGCUCUGCUUUUGUUCCAAGUAACAUUUCCCAUUCCAAAGACAGUCGUACUUUGAGUGCAGAGUAUGUGGGCACAGCUUUCGUGACAACUUUUUUCACUCAUCGUGUGAGGGUUCUCACAGGAGAGGAUCCCAGAGUGCAGUGAAUGUGGAAAGGCCUUCAUUCACCCUUAUUUGUCUGGCCUAAUAGGAUCCAUGCUGGAGAAAAACCGUUUGAGUAUAAGAAUAUCAGAGAGCCUUUCGUUAUAGCUCCUCCCUGAUUCCAUAUGGGAAGGCUCACAUGAGGGAGAAACGCUGUGAAUCCAGUGAAUGUGGACAGCCCCUCUGCCUUCAUUUAUUCCUUACCAAGCCUCAGAGUGUUCACACUGGGGAGAAACCCUGUGAGCGUAAGAAAUGGGCCAAAGCCUUUUACAUGUGAACUUGUCUCAGGCACUAUCAGAGAACUCAUACUGGGAAAAGACCAUUUGAAUGUAACUCCUGGGGAAAAUCUUCUGAACAGAGGAAGCAUCAUACUCUGAGGAAUUAUACCAAAGAGAAAUAACUGUUCGUAUGCUGUGAGAAAAUCUUCUGAGAUCAGUCAUCACUUACUGUCAUUGGAAGAGUCAUAUAGGAAAUGGACCCAUCCUAGGAUGUUGCAUCUGAGAAAUUAUAAAGGAGAGAGAACCAGUGGCUACUGUGCAGUUUCAGAAAUCUUCAACCAUAGCUCUGCCCUUACUAUGCACUGAAAAAGCAACCACAGGAAUAUUUAAAAAACAAAAACAAAGGAGAAAGAAAAGUAUAAGUAGAUAGAACAGGCCAAGAAAUGUAUUUAUGACUUUUUUUCUAAUUUUCCUCAGAAACCAGUGAGAGUUAAUUGGCUGGGUUUUUUGUUGUUGCUGUUUUUGAGUGUCAAAACAAACUCUCAAUUUGUUUGAGAGAUUAAACACCUGAAUUAAUAUGCACUGUGUGCCAUGCCACACCAGGAAAGCUGGAAGCUUGAGAACAUCUCUGCAAAUGUUACUUGUUACGAAACAUCAUCUUAGGUGAUGCUUGAUUUAUGAAGCCUUUAAAACUUAAAUUAGGAUACAAAAAUGUUGUCUGAAAUUAUAAUCUAAAGACAUAAGGACACACUUAUGAAUGGAUCCAUUUUACUUAACUACUUAAAA
Molecule: non-coding RNA, 3512 nt
Organism: Odocoileus virginianus texanus
Lineage: Eukaryota; Metazoa; Chordata; Mammalia; Artiodactyla; Cervidae
Source: RefSeq, a predicted model, not a curated record